Pelodiscus sinensis (Chinese soft-shelled turtle) is the source of this 2999-nucleotide non-coding RNA. NCBI's taxonomy places the organism in Eukaryota, Metazoa, Chordata, Testudines, Trionychidae. The record is from RefSeq and is a predicted model, not a curated record.
AAUAGCAACCAAUGACUUUUCCUAUUUUCUCACUUGGAAUCUGUUUUGGGAGCUUGGAAUUGCUAUCUAACUGAAUCAGUAACAUCUGUGACUACGGGGCAGCUUGAGUGGGAAUAGUUAGAGGGUUAGACAGAUUUCCUGCAUUUUAAGGUUCUUUUCCUCUGAAGAGAUUGCUUUGGGACAAUUACAUUUAAUGCCUAUUUCUUUCUCUCCCCCCCCCCCCCUCCUCUCUAAGUUGGUUGGGUUUAAGAAGUAAAGUGACUUUAAGGAACCACACCAGCAUUUUGAAAAGUUUCAGUUUCAAAUACAUGAAAAGAAAAGUCUGAAGGGAUUCCUAGAGCUGUAUUGCAGCUUGCAGAUCAUUAUGAAUAUGUAGAACAGCACUGGUUCCAGUACAGUUUUAUGGAAGAAACCACUAUUUACCUCUAUCCUGAAAAAUAGCCGUUUUCCCUACCCGUUGCUUCCUGACUUUUAACAAGGUUGAGUUUCAAGCAAUUGAUAAUCCCUUCAUGAGCAGUUCUCCUGUCAUGGUGCAUUUUUCAAUAAGAAGUGCAAAGACUGAUCCUAGGAUUGCAUGGAACAUGGGGCUUGACCUAUUGGAAGGACAGUCACAUCCAAUUACCUUGGAUACCUCUAAGACUCUGGACAAUGAUAACCUCGAUGCUGUUUUAGUUGCUGGUGGUGGGAAGACCACCAUAUGGAGGAAUCGCAGUUGAAGGUACAUUGUAUCACAGAUGGGCAUGGAAGAGUGUGAUCUGUCCUGUUGAACUGACUAUUCAAUUUUGAACAGGUUGCUUAACUUUGAUGUUCACGGUGAGCUUCUUAGAACAAAGUACCAAGACUCCUACACCCAGCCACUUCUUUGGGCCAGGUUUAAUAUUUUGUUUCUUUUUUUCAGAUGUUCUGGAUAAAAUAGCUAAAGUUCCCUGACGCUAAAAGAAUCUGUAAAAUUUGUAUUUACUGUUUGAUUCACCUGUCCCUCCAGCUCUCUGAAAUACUUAACGUGGCCUUAUUUUAGAGAUGCAUUGGCAACUACUGAUCUGAAUAUCCAUGAACUUUGAAGAAGUUCAGAUUUGCAUCUAAUUCAGACUUUGUAACACUGAUUCCCUAAUAAUUUCACUGUGAAGAAUUUUUUAGGAGUGCAUAUGUAGCCUCUCCUGAAGCCUCAGUUACUUUGCUUCCAGACAUCCAUGCAUUAAAUUCAUAGAACCUUAGCAAAUAUACGCCCACAGUGCUUUGUAGACACAAAUGUCUCUUGAGUAGAGCUGAUUAAAACAUGGAAUUUCUAUCCAGAGGAAGUUCCUGGGACUACAGACAGCUUGUCAAAAAAAUGGAUAUCACAAAGAAUCACCUCCAAUCUACUGACACCGAGUUCCCAGAUAAUGAGUUUAUGAACAUGAUUUCUAAAUCAUGUUUCUUUUCCUCUUCUCCUGGGUAUGUAUGAAACUGUCAGGCUAAAUUAAACUUUAUAAGUUAAUUGAAAAAGAUCUAAUAUUCCACUCCUUACAGAUUUUAUGAUGUGGGGAAGCUAAUUUUCACAGCAUGAAAAGCUUUAAAAAACAUCUUGCUAUUCCUAUGCUGACAUCUUUCACUCAGUGCUACAGUGCAUUUUGUGAGCACAUCACUGUUUUAGAUUUUCACCAAUCAGCUAACAACAGAGGAGAGUGCCAGUUUCUUCAUCACUGGGAAGAAUCUAAUGGGCACGUUAACUGCAUGUACUCAUUAUGCUGGAAGGUGGUAUUUUUAUCCUUGAGGAUCUGCAGUCUUACAAAGUCAGGUAAUGCAGUUGGGUUCCACCUUUAUCAACAAAAAUCUCUGCAUUGCAAAUAAUUAUUCUGUUUCUAAAGAAUUAACAGUGGUAUGUUUCUCUAGUGACUUUUUUCCCCCUAAAAAUUCCAUUACAUUUAUUUCGUCAUCAAUUUUAGAGUGCACUUAGGAAACAAGGCUAUCUACAUUGAACACUGAUCAGCUGUCUAUUAUUGGAAAGUAUUUGGAGUAUUAAGUUCUUCACCUAUUAGAGGUAAGGACAUAAACGUCUUAUUUCAUGUCUUGCAAGACCUUUUCACAAUCAUGCACACAUGGAAUAUUUUCUCUCUCUUCACUGAUAAUAUAAACAAUUGAGAUUCAGGUCAAUGACUUGACUCUCUUACUUACCUCUGAACCACUGAAUAAUCAUAAUCCCAAUCCUCAACUGGUGUAAAUCAGUGUCACUCAUUGAAUCCAAUGGAGUGAUAUUGUUUUAUGAUGGCUGAGGAUCUAGACCAGUAUGCUAAGAUUAAACAGAAACAUCUCACGGGAUCAUUUGUAUGAGGUGGGCAUUGCUAGACCUUAGUCCUUCCCCCCCACCUUCUAUUUAUAGGUUUCUAAUUUUCACUACUUAAUGAAUAUCACUUUUCAUUACAAUUAUGUUAAAAGGUACCAGCAUGAUGAUUCAGAAACCCUUGAAGAUAUAGUCAUAUUUUCAGCAACAGAUGGAUUUAACACUGCAGAUGGAGUGUUAAGAGUGCAGGAGGUGAAAUAGGACAUAACACUUGUAUGGAUACCUUGACCCUCAGAAUCUCAGAUGGAGAGGCUGGUAAAGUGGAUAGUUGUUUUGCUAAACCUCUCUCUCCACUUCACACCACUUCCUAGUCUAGGAUCUGAACAUCCCAGUUCUCUCCAUCAACAACCAACAUCCCACAAUUCAUCUGGAUGGACCACAUUGGAGCAGAGAUACCUUCCUGAAGAUGAGACACAUCGCCACUUAACACAUAAUUGAUAAUUGAUGUCUGCUUGUUUAAAUACUUGUUUUACUAGAAACACUAUGUAACUUUAUAUUAUUGCUCUUAUUUUGCCAGGGGGUCCAGGAUUUCCCCCCUCCUCCCCAUCACUUGAUCUGCCCAUUGAGCAUCCUAUAUAAUUAGUUGUAACCUAUUGUUUGGCAGUGUUCACUGAGCAUAACAAGUGAUGUGACACUCCGCCAGUAUUGUGUGUUAAUAAAUCCUUCUGCUUGCUUCAUA